Molecule: ribosomal RNA, 292 nt
Filed under: uncultured bacterium
Lineage: Bacteria
Description: partial 16S ribosomal RNA
Rfam family: Bacterial small subunit ribosomal RNA
Source: RNAcentral
GUGACAGCCGCCGCGGUAAUACGUAGGUGGCAAGCGUUGUCCGGAUUUAUUGGGUUUAAAGGGUGCGUAGGCGGUAAUUUAAGUCAGUGGUGAAAUACGUCAGCUUAACUGGCGAGGUGCCAUUGAUACUGGGUUACUUGAGUACUGAUGAGGUAGGCGGAAUGGACGGUGUAGCGGUGAAAUGCUUAGAUAUCGUCCAGAACACCGAUAGCGAAGGCAGCUUACUAAGGAGUAACUGACGCUGAGGCACGAAAGUGUGGGGAUCAAACAGGAUUAGAUACCCUAGUAGUCC